This 62-nucleotide non-coding RNA is filed under the name unclassified sequences. The record is from RNAcentral.
UAUCAACUGACCUAGCAGACAAGCCGAGAUGAUAAGACUUAUUUCCCAAGGAGGAAAUUAUG